Molecule: transfer RNA, 70 nt
Filed under: Camelus bactrianus (Bactrian camel)
Lineage: Eukaryota; Metazoa; Chordata; Mammalia; Artiodactyla; Camelidae
Also listed under: 2 other names
Rfam family: tRNA
About the family: Transfer RNA (tRNA) molecules are approximately 80 nucleotides in length. Their secondary structure includes four short double-helical elements and three loops (D, anti-codon, and T loops).
Source: Rfam by way of RNAcentral
GGAUGUAGCUCAGUGGUAGAGCACAUGCUUAGCAUGACCAAGGUCCUGGGUUCAAGUUCUAGUACAUCCA